RNAcentral lists this ribosomal RNA (301 nucleotides) under uncultured bacterium. RNAcentral describes it as "partial 16S ribosomal RNA". It matches the Rfam family "Bacterial small subunit ribosomal RNA", at positions 509 to 807 of the family's 1533-position model. The record is from RNAcentral.
CAGCAGCCGCGGGAAAACGUAGGGUGCAAGCGUUAAUCGGAUUUACUGGGCGUAAAGCGUGCGUAGGCGGCUUCUUAAGUCGGAUGUGAAAUCCCUGAGCUUAACUUAGGAAUUGCAUUCGAUACUGGGAAGCUAGAGUAUGGGAGAGGAUGGUAGAAUUCCAGGUGUAGCGGUGAAAUGCGUAGAGAUCUGGAGGAAUACCGAUGGCGAAGGCAGCCAUCUGGCCUAAUACUGACGCUGAGGUACGAAAGCAUGGGGAGCAAACAGGAUUAGAUACCCCUGUAGUCCCUGUCUCUUAUAC